This 414-nucleotide long non-coding RNA is filed under the name Manihot esculenta (cassava). Its description in RNAcentral is "long non-coding RNA (MESC_LNC012015)". Lineage: Eukaryota; Viridiplantae; Streptophyta; Magnoliopsida; Malpighiales; Euphorbiaceae. The record is from RNAcentral.
CCCAGUGAGCAGAAUAAUACAACAUUAUAUUUAAAAUUCAUGCUUUCAUGAAAUGCAUCACAUCACAACAAAUCACAUUAAGGAUGGACUUGUCACCAAUAGCCCUCUACACAAUCCAAUCAUGCCAGGGGCGUAGUGCAGGCCACACCUGGUCUUUCUCUUACACAUAACAUAACAUACAUAUCCAUCCGUGCCGGGGGCGUAGUGCAGGCCACACCCGGACUUUCUCUUACAUUGUGCUAGGGGCGUAGUGCAGGCCACACCUGGACUUCCAUACCAUAUCAUCAUCACAUCAUAUCAUAACGUACGAGGGCUAAUGGAUCAUUCAAUGUUCAUCCGCAUCAACAUCAUAUUAUGCAAUGCAACAUAUUCGUGAAUUCUAAUGCAACAAUCUAAUAUAUCUCAUGGCAUUCG